GCUGCGGGCUGGUGUUAUGGCAGCUGCGCGGAACCGCAAGAGGCGCCUGGCGGAGCUGACGGUGGACGAGUUCCUAGCUUCGGGCUUUGACUCCGAGUCCGAAUCCGAGUCCGAAAACUCCCCAGAAGCGGAGACGCGGGAGGCACGCGAGGCUGCCCGGAAUCCGGAUGAACCGGGCGGGAGCCCCUCGGCCAGGUGAGUGGGGACAUGCGUGAGCAGAACCUCCUUGCUCGUCCUGUCCCACCCCGCCACAAUGUUGCCGACCUCGCCUGGGGUCUCAGGGCCAAGGCCUAAGGAUCGCCGACCUCCCCAGUCCUUUCAGCUUAACUUACUUUUUCAUCCGAUGUUUAACUGAGCUCCUGUUCCGUGCCAAACCCUGUCCUAGGGAGGGAGCGUAUGUUGGCGAGUUCUGCAAAAAUCUCUUCCCGAUCUAGGAGAACUCUCACGUUUUUGGGUGAAAUCACCACCUGCAGUUCAGUAGAAGAGAGAUAAGUGCUGGGGAGGGAAAGGAAGGACAGAGAGGCUGGAGAGAGGGUUGCAGGGGAGCCGAGUUGCUCUGUUAGAAGGAGCGGAGGCUGGGCGCGGUGGCUCACGCCUGUAAUGCUAGCACUUUGGGAGGCCGAGGCGGGCAGAUCACCUGACCAACACGGAGAAAUCCCGUCUCUACUAAAAAUAUAAACAUUAGCCGGGCGUGGUGGGCACCUAUAAUCCCAACUACUCGGGAGGCUGAGGCAGGAGAAUCGCUUGAACUUGGGAGGCGGAGGUUGCAGUGAGCUGAGAUGGCACCAUUGCAUUCCAGCCUGGGUGAGAGAGUGAGACUCCACCUCAAAAAGAA
RNAcentral lists this small RNA (835 nucleotides) under Pongo abelii (Sumatran orangutan). RNAcentral's name for it is "retained intron". Lineage: Eukaryota; Metazoa; Chordata; Mammalia; Primates; Hominidae. The record is from RNAcentral.